This 249-nucleotide ribosomal RNA is filed under the name uncultured bacterium. Its description in RNAcentral is "partial 16S ribosomal RNA". It matches the Rfam family "Bacterial small subunit ribosomal RNA", at positions 57 to 305 of the family's 1533-position model. The record is from RNAcentral.
GCAAGUCGAACGGUAACAUAGUCUUCGGACUGAUGACGAGUGGCGCACGGGUGCGUAACGCGUAUGCAACCUACCCUUAACAGGGGGAUAGCCCGAAGAAAUUCGGAUUAAUACCCCAUAGUAUCCUUUGAUGGCAUCUGAAGAGGAUUAAAGAUUUAUCGGUUAAGGAUGGGCAUGCGUGACAUUAGCUAGUUGGUGAGGUAACGGCUCACCUAGGCUUCGAUCCAUAGCUGGUCUGAGAGGAUGAUC